Molecule: ribosomal RNA, 480 nt
Filed under: uncultured Sphingobacteriales bacterium
Lineage: Bacteria; Pseudomonadati; Bacteroidota; Sphingobacteriia; Sphingobacteriales
Description: bacterial SSU rRNA
Rfam family: Bacterial small subunit ribosomal RNA
Source: RNAcentral
CUCAAAGGAAUUGACGGGGGCCCGCACAAGCGGUGGAGCAUGUGGUUUAAUUCGAUGAUACGCGAGGAACCUUACCUGGGCUCAAAUGUAUGUUGACGUAUUCUGAAAGGGAUACUUCUUCGGACAAUAUACAAGGUGCUGCAUGGUUGUCGUCAGCUCGUGCCGUGAGGUGUCGGGUUAAGUCCCAUAACGAGCGCAACCCCUAUCAUUAGUUGCCAUCAGGUCAAGCUGGGGACUCUAAUGAAACUGCCUACGCAAGUAGUGAGGAAGGUGGGGAUGACGUCAAAUCAGCACGGCCCUUACGUCCAGGGCUACACACGUGCUACAAUGGCCGGUACAAAGGGUUGCCAAGCCGCGAGGUGGAGCUAAUCCCAUAAAACCGAUCGUAGUCCGGAUCGCAGUCUGCAACUCGACUGCGUGAAGUCGGAAUCGCUAGUAAUCGUGAAUCAGAAUGUCACGGUGAAUACGUUCCCGGGCCUU